This 475-nucleotide ribosomal RNA is filed under the name uncultured bacterium. RNAcentral describes it as "bacterial SSU rRNA". It matches the Rfam family "Bacterial small subunit ribosomal RNA", at positions 29 to 487 of the family's 1533-position model. The record is from RNAcentral.
AGCGAACGUUAGCGGCGGGCCUAACACAUGCAAGUCGAGCGAGAAAGUCCUUCGGACCGGUAAGACGGCGCACGGUGAGUAACGCGUAGGUAAUCUACCUAUCAAUGGGGGAGUAACUCUCCGAAAGGAGAGCUAAUACCGCAUACGACUCUUGGGGCUGCGGCCUUGAGAGUGAAAGGUGGCCAAUCCACGGAAGCUGUCGUUGAUAGAUGAGCCUGCGUCCCAUCAGCUAGUUGGUAGGGUAAAUGCCUACCAAGGCUAAGACGGGUAGCUGGUCUGAGAGGAUGAUCAGCCACACUGGCACUGGAACACGGGCCAGACUCCCACGGGAGGCAGCAGUGAGGAAUAUUGGGCAAUGGGCGCAAGCCUGACCCAGCCACGCCGCGUGAGCGAUGAAGGCCUUGGUCGUAAGACUCUGUGGGAGGAGAAGAAUAAAGACCUGUGAAGAAUAGGGCCUUGACGGUAGUCUCCUUUA